UACGGAGGAUCCAAGCGUUAUCCGGAAUCAUUGGGUUUAAAGGGUCCGUAGGCGGCCUUAUAAGUCAGUGGUGAAAUCUCCUAGCUCAACUAGGAAAUGGCCAUUGAUACUGUAGGGCUUGAAUUAUUGUGAAGUAACUAGAAUAUGUAGUGUAGCGGUGAAAUGCUUAGAUAUUACAUGGAAUACCAAUUGCGAAGGCAGGUUACUAACAAUACAUUGACGCUGAUGGACGAAAGCGUGGGGAGCGAACAGGAUUAGAUACCCGGGUAGU
Molecule: ribosomal RNA, 271 nt
Filed under: uncultured bacterium
Lineage: Bacteria
Description: partial 16S ribosomal RNA
Rfam family: Bacterial small subunit ribosomal RNA
Source: RNAcentral